GACGAACGCUGGCGGCGUGCUUAACACAUGCAAGUCGAACGGAAAGGCCCUGCUUUUGUGGGGUGCUCGAGUGGCGAACGGGUGAGUAACACGUGAGUAACCUGCCCUUGACUUUGGGAUAACUUCAGGAAACUGGGGCUAAUACCGGAUAGGAGCUCCUGCUGCAUGGUGGGGGUUGGAAAGUUUCGGCGGUUGGGGAUGGACUCGCGGCUUAUCAGCUUGUUGGUGGGGUAGUGGCUUACCAAGGCUUUGACGGGUAGCCGGCCUGAGAGGGUGACCGGCAACAUGGGAAUGGGGAUAGGGCCCAGACUCCUACGGGAGGCAGCGGUGGGGAAAAUUGAACAAGGGGCGAAGGCUGAAUGCGGCAACGCGGGGUGGGGGAGAAGGGCUUUGGGGUUGUAAACCGUUUUCGCUGGGAACGAAGCGGGAGUGACGGUAAUGGUUAAGGAAGCACCGGUUAAUUAGGU
RNAcentral lists this ribosomal RNA (467 nucleotides) under uncultured bacterium. Its description in RNAcentral is "partial 16S ribosomal RNA". It matches the Rfam family "Bacterial small subunit ribosomal RNA", at positions 28 to 506 of the family's 1533-position model. The record is from RNAcentral.